Long non-coding RNA from Nymphaea colorata (pocket water lily), 495 nucleotides. RefSeq lists it as uncharacterized. The record is from RefSeq and is a predicted model, not a curated record. The transcript has 3 exons. Lineage: Eukaryota; Viridiplantae; Streptophyta; Magnoliopsida; Nymphaeales; Nymphaeaceae.
GCUAUUUCUCAGAGUUGGGACAAUCCUUGUUUGACUUUGGAAAGGCAGACAAGCUCUUAGGUGCUUGUGAGGGAAAUUCUCUUGGUAAAGCGUUUUCAGAUUUUGGCAUGCAAGCUGAAAUAUUGUCUUACAAGCUUCAGAAUGAGGAAUCUUUAAUCAUAAGUUUGAAGAUAAUGUAACUCUAAAAACAAACUGUAUUAAUCUUGAUUACGUACUACUGAUUUAUUGUGUAAACAAAAUUCUGAAAUGAUAUCUGACUUGACUUCCAAUGAAGGCCCACAAUGUAUUGAUGAACUUUAAAGUGCCUUUAAAGGAUUAUGCACAAGCUGUGCAAUCAAUAAAGGCUACCAUGGCAGACCGAGCAAAUGCUUUCAGGCAGCAAUGUGAAUUGACAGAAAUAGCAAAGUUGAAGGAGAUUAACCUUGAGAGACUGAUGCUGGCUCGAUCUGAAAAGGCAGCAGAAGCAGAAAUAGAGUGCAAGGAAGUAAGUGCUUA